UGGCCUACGGGGGGCAGCAGUGGGGAAUAUUGGGCAAUGGGCGCAAGCCUGACCCAGCAACGCCGCGUGAAGGAAGAAGGCUUUCGGGUUGUAAACUUCUAUCAACAGGGACGAAAGAAAUGACGGUACCUGAAUAAGAAGCCCCGGCUAACUACGUGCCAGCAGCCGCGGUAAUACGUAGGGGGCAAGCGUUAUCCGGAAUUACUGGGUGUAAAGGGUGAGUAGGCGGCAUGGUAAGCCAGAUGUGAAAGCCUUGGGCUUAACCCAAGGAUUGCAUUUGGAACUAUCAAGCUAGAGUACAGGAG
This 305-nucleotide ribosomal RNA is filed under the name uncultured bacterium. RNAcentral describes it as "bacterial SSU rRNA". It matches the Rfam family "Bacterial small subunit ribosomal RNA", at positions 335 to 654 of the family's 1533-position model. The record is from RNAcentral.